RNAcentral lists this ribosomal RNA (281 nucleotides) under uncultured prokaryote. Its description in RNAcentral is "partial 16S ribosomal RNA". It matches the Rfam family "Bacterial small subunit ribosomal RNA", at positions 524 to 803 of the family's 1533-position model. The record is from RNAcentral.
GACGUAGGGUCCGAGCGUUGUCCGGAGUUACUGGGCGUAAAGCGCGCGCAGGCGGUUGGUUGCGUCGGGUGUGAAAGCCCCCCGCUCAACGGGGGAGGGUCAUUCGAAACGGGCCAACUGGAGGCAGGGAGAGGUCGGUGGAAUUCCCGGUGUAGUGGUGAAAUGCGUAGAUAUCGGGAGGAACACCGAUGGCGAAGGCAGGUCUCUAGGCCACUACUGACGCUGAGAAGCGAAAGCAUGGGGACGAACAGGAUUAGAUACCCCUGUAGUCCCUGAGCGGG